RNAcentral lists this small nucleolar RNA (55 nucleotides) under Archaeoglobus fulgidus. RNAcentral describes it as "partial u-46 small nucleolar RNA". The record is from RNAcentral. Lineage: Archaea; Methanobacteriati; Methanobacteriota; Archaeoglobi; Archaeoglobales; Archaeoglobaceae.
CUCACGCCCGGGUGAGAAGCAUGAUCCCGGGUCGGUUGGCGGAGCUACACCAGCA